AUCCUUGUUUUACUUUCACACACGCUAAUAAGCUAUGCAUAUACCUUGAUGCAUGGUCCGACCAAUUUCAGUGGGUUUUAUUCAAAGGUAGUCCCAAGCUCUUCCACCUAUGAUGCGGUAAAGUGGUGGUAGACUAGUAGGAUAACAUGUUCGUUGACAGUGAAGCACUUGGAUAGCUUAUAGGUUUAGUAUGCGCAUGCAAAUGGAGUAUUUGUUGCGACGAGCCUAUAAGUGCCGUGUGAGUCUUUCUAAAACUGCAGAUAACCCUCCC
RNAcentral lists this long non-coding RNA (271 nucleotides) under Setaria viridis. RNAcentral's name for it is "long non-coding RNA (SVIR_LNC006433)". Lineage: Eukaryota; Viridiplantae; Streptophyta; Magnoliopsida; Poales; Poaceae. The record is from RNAcentral.